This 537-nucleotide ribosomal RNA is filed under the name Opilo mollis. Its description in RNAcentral is "partial 16S ribosomal RNA". It matches the Rfam family "Bacterial large subunit ribosomal RNA", at positions 1805 to 2613 of the family's 2925-position model. Lineage: Eukaryota; Metazoa; Arthropoda; Insecta; Coleoptera; Cleridae. The record is from RNAcentral.
UAACAAAAACAUGUCCUUUUGAUAAUAAUUUAAGGUCUAAUCUGCCCACUGAUUAAUUAAAUGGCCGCGGUAUUUUGACCGUGCUAAGGUAGCAUAAUAAUUAGUUUCUUAAUUAGAAGCUGGAAUGAAUGAUUGAAUGAGAAAAUUUCUGUCUCAAUUUAAUUUAUUUUGAAUUUUAUUUUUAAGUUAAAAAGCUUAAAUAUAUUUAAAAGACGAGAAGACCCUAUAGAGUUUAAUUAUUUAAUAAUUAAUUUUAUUUUAUUUUUUAUUUUUAAUUUAUUUAUUAAGUAAUUUUGUUGGGGUGAUAGAAAAAUUUAAUUAACUUUUUUUAAAUUAUUACAUUAAUAAAUGAAUAAUUGAUCCAUAUUUUUUGAUUAAAAGAAUAAAUUACCUUAGGGAUAACAGCGUAAUUUUUUUUGAGAGUUCAAAUCGAAAAAAAAGAUUGCGACCUCGAUGUUGGAUUAAAAUUAAUUUUUGGUGUAGAAGCUAAAAAAUUAGGUCUGUUCGACCUUUAAAAUUUUACAUGAUCUGAGUUCA